CUAAACUGAGGAAAGUCGACCGAUACUGAUCGGCUAGAGGGGCGUAGAGGUAAGCGGAACUCUCGGAGUAGCGGUGAAAUGCGUAGAGACCGAGAGGUACCCCGAUGGUGAAGACAGCUUACUGGGCGUCUCCUGACGCUGAAGCGCUAAGGCCAGGGGAGCGAAGGGGAUUAGAUACCCCCGUAGUCCUGGCUUCAAACGAUGUGGGCUUGGUGUCGACUCCCGAUAGAGAGUCGUUGCCGGAGCUAACGUGUUAAGCCCACCGCCUGGGGAUUACGUCCGCAAGGAUGAAACUCAAGGGAAUUGACGGGGGCCCACACAACCGGUGGAGCACGUGGUUUAAUUCGAUGAUAAGCGAAGAACCUUACCAGGGCUUGACCUAGCGGUGGUAGGAUCCUGAAAAGGAAACGACCUCAAGCUUUGCUUGAGGAGCC
This 434-nucleotide ribosomal RNA is filed under the name uncultured bacterium. RNAcentral's name for it is "bacterial SSU rRNA". It matches the Rfam family "Bacterial small subunit ribosomal RNA", at positions 608 to 1042 of the family's 1533-position model. The record is from RNAcentral.